AAGCGGUGGAUGAUGUGGAUUAAUCGAUGCAACGCGAAAACCUUACCUACCUGACAUGUCCGGAAUCCGAAGAGAUUUGGGAGUGCUCGCAAGAGAGCCGGAACACAGGUGCUGCAUGGCCGUCGUCAGCUCGUGUCGUGAGAUGUUGGGUUAAGUCCCGCAACGAGCGCAACCCUUGUCAUUAGUUGCCAUCAUUUGGUUGGGCACUCUAAUGAGACUGCCGGUGACAAACCGGAGGAAGGUGGGGAUGACGUCAAGUCCUCAUGGCCCUUAUGGGUAGGGCUUCACACGUCAUACAAUGGUCGGUACAGAGGGUUGCCAACCCGCGAGGGGGAGCUAAUCCCACAAAGCCGAUCGUAGUCCGGAUCGCAGUCUGCAACUCGACUGCGUGAAGUCGGAAUCGCUAGUAAUCGUGGAUCAGCAUGUCACGGUGAAUACGUUCCCGGGUCUU
This 451-nucleotide ribosomal RNA is filed under the name uncultured Rhodocyclaceae bacterium. RNAcentral's name for it is "bacterial SSU rRNA". It matches the Rfam family "Bacterial small subunit ribosomal RNA", at positions 927 to 1382 of the family's 1533-position model. The record is from RNAcentral. Lineage: Bacteria; Pseudomonadati; Pseudomonadota; Betaproteobacteria; Rhodocyclales; Rhodocyclaceae.